This 823-nucleotide long non-coding RNA is filed under the name Salmo salar (Atlantic salmon). RNAcentral describes it as "lncRNA (ENSSSAG00000105851.1)". Lineage: Eukaryota; Metazoa; Chordata; Actinopteri; Salmoniformes; Salmonidae. The record is from RNAcentral.
GUUAGAGUUAGGAGGUGUUACUGAACAGACAGACAGACAGGUUAGGAGGUGUUACUAUACAGACAGACAGACAGGCAGGCAGAAAGACAGGUUAGAGUUAGGAGGUGUUAAUGUACAGACAGACAGACAGGUUAGGAGGUGUUACUAUACAGACAGACAGACAGACAAACAGACAGACAGGUUAGGGUUAGGAGGUGUUACUGAACAGACAGACAGACAGACAGGUUAGGGUUAGGAGGUGUUACUAUACAGACAGACAGACAGACAGACAGGUUAGAGUUAGGAGGUGUUACUGUACAGACAGACAGACAGACAGACAGACAGGUUAGAGUUAGUAGGUGUUACUAGACAGACAGACAGACAGACAGGUUAGGGUUAGGAGGUGUUACUGUACAGACAGACAGGUUAGGGUUAGGAGGUGUUACUGUACAGACAGACAGACAGACAGACAGACAGACAGGUUAGGAGGUGUUACUAUACAGACAGACAGGCAGGCAGACAGACAGGUUAGAGUUAGGAGGUGUUACUGUACAGAGAGACAGACAGACAGACAGGUUAGAGUUAGUAGGUGUUACUAGACAGACAGACAGACAGACAGGUUAGGGUUAGGAGGUGUUACUGGACAGACAGACAGACAGACAGGUUAGGGUUAGGAGGUGUUACUAGACAGACAGACAGGUUAGGGUUAGGAGGUGUUACUAUACAGACAGACAGACAGGUUAGGGUUAGGAGAUGUUACUAGACAGACAGACAGGUUAGAGUUAGGAGGUGUUACUGAAAAGACAGACAGACAGACAGGUUAGGAGGUGUUACUAUACAGACA